CGUAGGUGGCAAGCGUUGUCCGGAUUUAUUGGGCGUAAAGCGAGCGCAGGCGGUUCCUUAAGUCUGAUGUGAAAGCCCACGGCUCAACCGUGGAAGGUCAUUGGAAACUGGGGAACUUGAAUGCAGAAGAGGAGAGUGGAAUUCCAUGUGUAGCGGUGAAAUGCGUAGAUAUAUGGAGGAACACCAGUGGCGAAGGCGACUCUCUGGUCUGUAAUUGACGCUGAGGCUCGAAAGCGUGGGGAGCAAACAGGAUU
Molecule: ribosomal RNA, 254 nt
Filed under: uncultured bacterium
Lineage: Bacteria
Description: partial 16S ribosomal RNA
Rfam family: Bacterial small subunit ribosomal RNA
Source: RNAcentral